UCCCUGUUAACUUAGCUGGUAAAGAAUCUGCCUCCAAUGCAGGAGACUCUGGUUCAAUUCCUGGACCAGGAA
Molecule: non-coding RNA, 72 nt
Organism: Bos taurus (domestic cattle)
Lineage: Eukaryota; Metazoa; Chordata; Mammalia; Artiodactyla; Bovidae
Source: Rfam